Molecule: ribosomal RNA, 468 nt
Filed under: uncultured bacterium
Lineage: Bacteria
Description: partial 16S ribosomal RNA
Rfam family: Bacterial small subunit ribosomal RNA
Source: RNAcentral
GACGAACGCUGGCGGCGUGCUUAACACAUGCAAGUCGAACGGAAAGGCCCUGCUUUUGUGGGGUGCUCGAGUGGCGAACGGGUGAGUAACACGUGAGUAACCUGCCCUUGACUUUGGGAUAACUUCAGGAAACUGGGGCUAAUACCGGAUAGGAGCUCCUGCUGCAUGGUGGGGGUUGGAAAGUUUCGGCGGUUGGGGAUGGACUCGCGGCUUAUCAUCUUGUUGGUGGGGUAUUGGCUUACCAAGGCUUAGACGGAUAGCCGGCCUGAGAGGGUGACCGGGCACAAUACGACUAAGAGACGGCGCAGACUCGUACGGGAGGCAGCAGUGGGGAGUAUGACACAGUGAGCGGAAGCGUGAUGCGGAGACGCCGCGUGCGGAAUGACGGCUUUCGGGUUGUGAACAGCUUUCGCCUGAGACGAAGCGUGAGUGACGGUAAUGGAUAAAGAAGCACCGGCUAACUACGUG